Molecule: ribosomal RNA, 499 nt
Filed under: uncultured bacterium
Lineage: Bacteria
Description: partial 16S ribosomal RNA
Rfam family: Bacterial small subunit ribosomal RNA
Source: RNAcentral
GACGAACGCUGGCGGCGUGCCUAAUACAUGCAAGUCGAGCGGACCAAACAGGAGCUUGCUCUUGUUUGGUUAGCGGCGGACGGGUGAGUAACACGUGGGUAACCUGCCCGUAAGACCGGGAUAACUCCGGGAAACCGGAGCUAAUACCGGAUAACACCGAAGACCGCAUGGUCUUUGGUUGAAAGGCGGCUUCGGCUGCCACUUACGGAUGGGCCCGCGGCGCAUUAGCUAGUUGGUGAGGUAACGGCUCACCAAGGCGACGAUGCGUAGCCGGCCUGAGAGGGUGACCGGCCACACUGGGACUGAGACACGGCCCAGACUCCUACGGGAGGCAGCAGUAGGGAAUCUUCCGCAAUGGACGAAAGUCUGACGGAGCGACGCCGCGUGAGCGAAGAAGGUCUUCGGAUCGUAAAGCUCUGUUGUUGGGGAAGAAGAAGCGCCGUUCGAACAGGGCGGCGCGGUGACGGUACCUAACGAGAAAGCCCCGGCUAACUACGUG